This is a long non-coding RNA of Saccostrea cuccullata (small rock oyster), 4765 nucleotides long. RefSeq lists it as uncharacterized. The transcript has 4 exons. Lineage: Eukaryota; Metazoa; Mollusca; Bivalvia; Ostreida; Ostreidae. The record is from RefSeq and is a predicted model, not a curated record.
GAAUAUGGCCGGGCAGAUAGUGUUCAUCUUCUGUCCUUCCGUCACACUUUGCAGUUAGCUCAGUUCAAAGCUCAGAUUCAAAGAAAUUAAGAUAUUUUCAUCAAACUUCAUAUGCUGUUACAUGUACAUAUUGAUGAGAGUCACUCAGGUGACCUAUUGCUGUCUGUUUUCGUCCGUCGACGUGCGUCACAACUUGAUGUACUGGCCCCGGGAUCAGGGGUUUUGGUUUCAAGAUGGGGCUCUAUUGAUUAUAUAGUGAAAAUGCAUUAAUUCUUUGAAAAUCUUCUCUCCUCCUAGGUAUUAAAUAAACCAACGAAGUACAUAGUUAUGAUGAGCAAGAGAAUGCCUCUACCAAUAUUAUAGAUUUUAUGACCCUAGGGUCAGGAGUUCUGGUGUAAGGGUGGGACUCUUUUGAUUAUAUAGUGAAAAUGCAUUAUGUCUUUGAAAAUCUUCUUUUCUGCUCCUAGGUAUUAACUGUGUGCAUAGUUAUGAUGAGCAAGAAUGCCUCUACCAAAAUUGUGAAUUUUAUGGCCUGAGGUUUAGAGGUUCUUGUGUUGGGGUGGGGCUGUACUGAUUAUAUAGUGAAAUGGAAAUAUAAGGAAUCACUGUCUAGUUAGUAGAGUAUACUAGAGACAUCAACGAUAUCGGAAAGAUGGGAUAAUUUAUGCAUAGCGGGCUUCGCCAAUUUUGAACUUUUAUCUUGAAUCAAUUUCUUUUGAUGGUGAGUUGAUGUAAUAGGAAUGUGUUUCAAGAGGCUGGCUGAAAAUUUUUAAAACUACAUGUACUGCCACUUAUCAAAUGGAGUGAGAUUUUAUAUGAAAGGAUCUAUACUUUUUUUUUUACUUAUUUCAUGUGUCAGGAUUUAAAGAAGACAAAAAUUUUAAAAGUUAUUGACAAUAUUCCAGGAAAUUGAUUUCUCUGUGGACACUGUCUUUAACAAAAAGUCAAUGAAUUUGAAAUCAAAUUCUUCAUUAAAAAAUAUCUGCUCACAUAUAACAUUCUUCAAUACUGGUGAAUUUUUAGAAUAUAUUUUUUUUUCUCCUUUAUUUUCCAAUAAAUAAUGUGUAAGCAGAUAUAUUGAUAUUGAUAUGAUUUGAUAUUUGUGUAAGGAUAUAGUUUAAAUACUUUUAAGAAUGUGUGUUGAGAAAUAAAAAAAAAUAUUGGUCAUUGUUGUCUUAAUGCAUUUAGGGGAUUUCAAUCACAGAAAAUGUGAUAUAAUUUUCGAAUAGGCAUAAACAUAUUGUUUUAUUUAAAAAUGAAAUCAUUUGGCAGGAUAUAUGUGUACAUUGUCUUAGUAUAUAAAUGAAAUAAUAUAUUUAUUUUGUCAACAUGCUAAAAGUAUCCUUAUUAUUUUUUUUCUGAACUUUAAAAAAUAUGGUUUAUGUUCAUAAGGCAUUGUGUCCAUAUGCAUUGAAGCUUUUGACACUUCUCUACAACCAUUAGAUAAUUUGUCAAUUUCAAUUUCUGUGUUUAAAUAAUGAGUAUGUGUGAUAUAUUAUUUUUAACAAUAUGCUUCAUGAACAUAACUCAGUUCUUUUUGUAAUUUUAAAAUAAUCUCUGAUUGUAAAAUGUUUAGUGUCUUGACCGUUACGAACAUAAUAGCUUUCAGUAUGAUUGCUAAAAUGACACCCAAUGAAUCAUAAGUUUGGCUCAGGAAGUCCGUAGCAGUGGUAAAAUUAUAAAUUGGAAACCAAAUUAGCAAGGUGGCGCAGCUAUCUGCUAGAAAUCAUGGCGAUGCUCAGUGUGCCCAUGUGUAAAAAAAAGUUACGUACAUAAUAGAUUCAGUAAGUAUAUUCAUAUUGUAUCAAUUUUAGUGAAUGUUUCACACAUCAUUGUGUCUUUAUACCAUGUAGAUAUUAAUCAGAAACUAAAAUAUGUAGCUUAUGACCAUACAAAAUCAUAUGUAUUGAUUACAUCAUGGUGUAUUUUGUUUUAUAUAUUUUUUUUUCUUUCAGAUGUACAAGAAAUGACUGAAUUAUGUUCGUAACAAUGACACAAAGAUCCACAAGACUCAAAAUAGAAGACCUGAUAAUUUAUUUGUCUGCAUUUAUUCUCCUUGAAAGCUAGUCUAUUAUUAAACUUUGAAAUGGUAUAUUAAAAGUAUUAAAAACAAGUGUUCGAUUGUCUUUUUAUUAUUUUCUUUUUGUUCUAUUUUAAAGCAUGAUUCAGAGUUAGGUGUCCAUGGUACUUACAUAAUUUCUCCUUUUUUGAAACUAGAAAUAAAAAUUGUGACUUUUUAAAUAAAUUCCUUUUAAUAUAACAUUAAACGGGAUCUCAUCAUACCUCAUUGAUUAUAUAAUUUUCAUAUUUUUACAUCUUGUUAAAUUCUAGUAACAUGGCACUUGUUUAGUGCUUAUGUAAGUAACGGUGCCCGUUGGUAAUCUUGAAUAUAUUUUCUGAUUAUAAUGGAUAUGGCAGAAAUAAGUCAUGCAAUAAAACAUGCAAACUAGACUUUAUAUACCUCAAAAAGGAUUCACCAGAAAAGAAUAGCUUAUUGAUUUAAAAAAUAGUCACUGUGGACACCAAGUUACGUACAUAAAAUUUCAGACAUGCUUGUACAUUUGGACACCUAUCUCCUCUUUAAAACUUCAGAUUAUCUUCCAAUUAUUUUUUUUCAGAAGCAGGAAAGUUACUGACUCAAUUAAUAUGCAUAAAUUUAUGAAAUUUAUUAUUUGUAAAAAUAGCCCUUUGGUCACACAUCUGAAUUCAGUACUGAAGAAUGAGUUAUAUGCAUAUGAUCUUAAAAUUUCUUAUUCUACAUGUUUUAGACUUUUCUUUGGAUAAAGCCUGGUUAAAUUUCUGAUUUUCUGAUAGGGAAUCAAUUUACAUACAAGGCACGUAAAUUAAAUUUUACUUUUAAAAUCAGCAUUAUCUUUGUUUCUUUUAUGAAUUCUACAAUCGGAAAUGGUCAGGAACCUUUUGGUUUAAAAAUAAAAUGAAAAUUCAGAGUUCCCCUUUAAAUUCAGGAAUCCCUCUGAAGAAGAUUAUUUUUUUUUAAAAAGUAAAAUAUCUUACUGGUAUGUAAAUUGAAUUCCUAUCAUGUCAUUUGAAUGAAGACAAGGGUAUAGCGUUUUCCAAUUAGUUGAUUUAAAACAUCUUUAAUGGCUGUCAUGAACAAGGGACUAAGUGGUUUUCAUAAAAUCCGAAUUUUAAUCUGAAACACUGUUGCUGUAACUAAUGAGAUUUUAUGGAAUUUAAUUAAAGUCCUAAUUAACUGUUGAAUUUAGUUACAUGUUUGCUGAGCUGGUGACCAGUUUACUUUAAUUCCAGUCAGUGCACCAGCCUAUGAAGUUAAAAUUACUUCUGAUCAGAGUGUGACUAAAAUCCUCAGAGAAAAAUUAAAUUUUUGUCUGAACUUUUGGAUCCUGUAUGAAAUUUGAAGAACGGUCUGAACCAUGAGAUAUUUUAACAAAACAUACUUUCUCCAUAGUGGUACCUUUAACUCCUAACUACCAAGUGAAUUAAAACUACUUUGAGUUUGUUUAUGAGGUCUCCUGUGUAUAACAUUAAGACGCCUCUAUGUAAUUGUAUAGUACUAUAAACUGGAGAGUGUUUUCUUUAUUUUCUCCUUAAUGUUCCCUUUAACUGAGAUGGUUCUUUGUGAUUUGGUGUGAAAUCAAACAACAUUUCUAUGUUAAUGUGUUGACACUGAGUUCACCAGUAAACCCCGUGUCUGACAGGGGGUUAUAUUGUACACACUGAUUAACUGUCUACGAUCCUCCUUAUUAAUUGACUUUCGGAUCACUUUUAAAACAUAUUAUUUUGUGCUCAGUAUCAUGGACCAGAGGAAAAUUCCAUUUCUUUAGGGUAAAAUUUUAUCUUUCUAAUGAGGUAAAUGAAUUGUAAAUUGUUUUUGAGCUGAAAUCAUUUUUACUUUCUUUGUAUUUUGCAAAAUGUUGGUAGAAAUUUCUCAGUAUUGUGUCUUCUCAUUAUAACAGUUUUUUAAUGACAUUUUUUCAAAACUGUUGCAUUGUGACGAUAGUUCUAAAAUAUUGUCUCUACGAAAUCAAUAUAAACAUGAUUGAUCAUCUUUUCUGCAUAGGUCAAAUUGUUGAGCCAACAGGUAAAAAUUAUUAAUUUAAAGGAGUGCAAGAGAUGUGGGCAACCUUUGCAUUAAUCCCAUUGUGUUGGAGAGACUAGAUUCCGACUCGCUCAAAUUCUCCAAGUGCAGUGUAGAUACCAAGAGUGUAGGCUACUUAAUGAUGUCCCAACAGACAAAAACAUCUAACAGAAAUGGGAGGAAAAGCCUGGGAUAUUAAUACGAAAGUAGCAGAAGGAAUUUCGGAGGAAGGUCUAAAGGAAAGUAAAAAGGAAGUUGGCAGUACACUGAGUAAAGUGGCAGAUGGAAGUUGUCGAACCAGCCUAUUAGAGGAAGUAGAAAAAGUGAAUAAAAGACUGACAAUGUCUCCUGGAAGAUACACCCUCAAGCAUUCCAGGAUCCUACAAAGCAGACUGAAGCUGAAGCGAUUACAACAAGCAAAGCGGAGCACAAAGUGGAGACGUUUAGAGCUGAAGUCAGAGAGGUCUGCAAAAGAUGCAUCACAAUCUGUUCUUUAUUGAUUGAUAAUAUGUUGUUUAUCGACCCUCUCGAGAAUUUUUCACUCAUAUUGAGAUUCCAAUCUGUUCUUUAAGCGGAUACAUACAGCAGCAAAAUUGGUUUGAGUGAUGAAGUUGAUUCUGACGACAUUUCCUUUGAAUAAAUUAGAUCAACUACCGAGAACCAAAAAAUUUUACGUGGUAUUUGACCUAGAGACUACUGGUUUAA